RNAcentral lists this ribosomal RNA (279 nucleotides) under Pseudomonas hunanensis. RNAcentral's name for it is "partial 16S ribosomal RNA". It matches the Rfam family "Bacterial small subunit ribosomal RNA", at positions 54 to 333 of the family's 1533-position model. Lineage: Bacteria; Pseudomonadati; Pseudomonadota; Gammaproteobacteria; Pseudomonadales; Pseudomonadaceae. The record is from RNAcentral.
ACCAUGCAAGUCGAGCGGUUGAAGGGAGCUUGCUCCCUGAUUCAGCGGCGGACGGGUGAGUAAUGCCUAGGAAUCUGCCUGGUAGUGGGGGACAACGUUUCGAAAGGAACGCUAAUACCGCAUACGUCCUACGGGAGAAAGCAGGGGACCUUCGGGCCUUGCGCUAUCAGAUGAGCCUAGGUCGGAUUAGCUAGUUGGUGAGGUAAUGGCUCACCAAGGCGACGAUCCGUAACUGGUCUGAGAGGAUGAUCAGUCACACUGGAACUGAGACACGGUCCA